ACUCCUACGGGAGGCAGCAGUGGGGAAUUUUCCGCAAUGGGCGAAAGCCUGACGGAGCAAUACCGCGUGAGGGAGGAAGGCUCUUGGGUUGUAAACCUCUUUUGUUAGGGAAGACCAAAAUGACGGUACCUAAGGAAUAAGCAUCGGCUAACUCCGUGCCAGCAGCCGCGGUAAU
This 175-nucleotide ribosomal RNA is filed under the name uncultured soil bacterium. RNAcentral describes it as "partial 16S ribosomal RNA". It matches the Rfam family "Bacterial small subunit ribosomal RNA", at positions 335 to 524 of the family's 1533-position model. The record is from RNAcentral.